CCCUCAUCUCCCACCGCACGCCGCCACCCUCCACCUCUUCGCGUCCUUCCUCCCACAGCUCGCCGCCGGCCCUCCCCUCCCUUCCCCUCACCUCGCAGCUCCGACAACUACCAGAUCCGCCGCAUACCCCACCCAUCCAUCCCUCUCGCAAUGCAUCUAUUCCUCCCCGGCACUCGCUUGUGACCCCUAGCAAUGGCUAGGGUUUCGGCUGCGGCAUCGUGUCCAACACUGCACAUCUCCGGCGGCUCCCCUCCAUCCGCACAUCGCGUCUUCGGUAGCUCCUCUCCGUCCACACCGCUCUUCCUUGAGCCCACCUUGCCGGCUGUGCGGUGAUGCCGCUGUGCAACGUCCAGUGGCGAGCGACCAACUCCUGGGCCGCCGUCGGCGACACCUCUUCUCCACCAAGGGUACCAAGUAGAGACAAACAGCAGGGUACAGAGCAGAGACAAACCACCGCACUGCAGUCUAGGUAGCUCUGUAACAGUGGUGCCACUGCAUGGCGCACAAUAGAGCUUGAGAGGGCAACCAUGAUGGCCGUUGGGAGCUGCACCACGAUCAACCAAGGGUAUGAUUGGGUCGCGAGCUACUUGGUGUUGUCCAUCAGAAUCUGCCAUGACAUGUAGUUGCCACCAGGAGGAUCGACGACAAGCACAUGAGUGGCACCCUUAGUAGUUUAUAUGUCUUGUUAACAUAAAUUGGAUUGUACUGGUUCCUAUCAUUGCCGUGUGAUAUAUUUUGACAAUAUAUGUUGUAUAUUAUCAUUUCCUGGAGGAUAUUAUAAACUGCUAGGUUGUAUAGAUACCUAUGGAUGGCUACAUAUUGAGUGAUUUAUGUAACGUAUGGCACUUUGGAAAUAUUGUCCUGGUCCAAAAUUGGCA
This 878-nucleotide ribosomal RNA is filed under the name Triticum aestivum (bread wheat). RNAcentral's name for it is "partial small subunit ribosomal RNA". Lineage: Eukaryota; Viridiplantae; Streptophyta; Magnoliopsida; Poales; Poaceae. The record is from RNAcentral.